AAGGGAGACCUAAUUCGGGUAGAAGACGAAAAAAUAGUAGUCGAAACCAAGAAUCAAUCCCAAAAGGUCGGAACGAGGUAUGUGGCUUUCAAACUAGGUUCUGGGUUCACAAAAGACCUGAAUCAGGAACAAGGGCUAUUAGCUCAGGUGGUUAGAGCGCACCCCUGAUAAGGGUGAGGUCCCUGGUUCGAGUCCAGGAUGGCCCACCUGCACAGGUGGCAAAAACAAGAGAAACGAGGAAUCAGCACCUUAUCUUACUUACACAGUAAGAGAGAAUGCUGGCUCUGAGUAAAGAGUCCAGAGGAACCUUGAAAACUGCAUAGAGCUAGGUGAAAAAGCCAAAAAAGAAGACCGCAA
This 357-nucleotide transfer RNA is filed under the name uncultured Microcystis sp. RNAcentral describes it as "partial 16S-23S ribosomal RNA intergenic spacer". The stretch from base 133 to 206 matches the Rfam family "tRNA". The record is from RNAcentral. Lineage: Bacteria; Bacillati; Cyanobacteriota; Cyanophyceae; Chroococcales; Microcystaceae.